UACGGGGGGAGCAAGCGUUGUUCGGAUUUACUGGGCGUAAAGGGCGCGUAGGCGGUCAGCACAAGUCAGUUGUGAAAUCUCCGGGCUUAACCCGGAAAGGUCAACUGAUACUGUGCGACUAGAGUGCGGAAGGGGCAACUGGAAUUCCUGGUGUAGCGGUGAAAUGCGCAGAUAUCAGGAGGAACACCGAUGGCGAAGGCAGGUCUCUGGGCCGAUACUGACGCUGAGGAGCGAAAGCGUGGGGAGCGAACAGG
Molecule: ribosomal RNA, 254 nt
Filed under: uncultured bacterium
Lineage: Bacteria
Description: partial 16S ribosomal RNA
Rfam family: Bacterial small subunit ribosomal RNA
Source: RNAcentral